AGCAAGCGCGGUGUAGGGGAUAGAGGGAGACAAACGAUUAUUUUGCUCCAAGCAUUCUACUUUUGUUCCUUUGGGAGGUAGUCAUUGAAAAAUAGCGCACACACCUGUAACUUUUUAGACGUCAUGGGUUAAUUGAAUGAUACAUCAAUCCAUAACUGAAGAUGAAGGAACACAGCACAAAACGUAGACGAGUAAAGUCCGUCGCACAAAAAAUCGCACCUCACUUCAGUACAUCCUUCCACAGGGAAAGUUUUGGACAGACUGAGGAUGCCUACCACGGAUGAGCGCGACAGCAGAAAAAUUGUGGUAUAUCGAGAGAGAUGGGUAGACUCGGUCCAGCGAAAUCCCCUGAUAACUGCAUGUGUGUGUGACGAACGAAAGACUUCUAACUCCGCUUCCCCAAUAUUUCAUCCAUAAUUUUCGUCACACGCACACACCUCUACACGGGCGGCGGUCUGCCGUCCAAAAUCUAGCGAGAGAGAAGACAGAGCCUCUCGCUUUGGCACAUAGCACAAUCUCUCAACAACUUCGGCUUUGCUACUUGGGGAGAAGGGGGGAUUGCGGUAUGUGAGUGUGUGCGUGUAAUUUUUCUUUACCGUUUCGCACUAUCCCGCGGGAGUACUAUCUUGCACUAUCGCACUAUCUUGAGUGCGUGUUUUUUUUUAUUUUUCAAAGAGAAAAAACCCUUCGACAAAUACCAAGGGGGGAGGAGAGGGUGUGUUUGUGUGUAUAUAAGAGAAUGUGCUUAGGAAAUUAAACGUGAAAAAUAAAAGAAAAUAUGUUAAACGUA
Molecule: long non-coding RNA, 790 nt
Organism: Anopheles arabiensis
Lineage: Eukaryota; Metazoa; Arthropoda; Insecta; Diptera; Culicidae
Exons: 2
Source: RefSeq, a predicted model, not a curated record